Molecule: unclassified non-coding RNA, 342 nt
Filed under: soil metagenome
Description: partial contains 5.8S ribosomal RNA, internal transcribed spacer 2, and large subunit ribosomal RNA
Rfam family: 5.8S ribosomal RNA (bases 1-120)
Source: RNAcentral
GAUGAAGAACGUAGCGAAAUGCGAUAAGUAGUGUGAAUUGCAGAAUUCAGUGAAUCAUCGAAUCUUUGAACGCACAUUGCGCCUCCUGGGAUUCCGGGAGGCAUGCCUGUUCGAGCGUCAUCAAAAACCUCAACCCAUGAUUUAUUGUGAGUUGGUUCUGCAUUGGACUCCUUGUGGGUCCUUUGCGAAAUCCAAUGGCGAAGAGCCACGCAACCAAAGCGUAGUAUAACUAUUUCGUUAUGGAAGCGUGGGUGCCUCUGCCGUAACCCCCAAUUUCUUAGUUUUUGACCUCGGAUCAGGUAGGGAUACCCGCUGAACUUAAGCAUAUCAAUAAGCGGAGGA